This 107-nucleotide small nuclear RNA is filed under the name Sinocyclocheilus anshuiensis. Lineage: Eukaryota; Metazoa; Chordata; Actinopteri; Cypriniformes; Cyprinidae. The record is from RNAcentral.
GCGCUCGCCACGGCGGCACAUAUACUAAAAUUGGAUCGAUACAGAGAAGAUUAGCAUGGCCCCUGCGAAAGGAUGACACACAAAUCUGUGAAGCACUUCAUCUCUAA